Diachasmimorpha longicaudata is the source of this 969-nucleotide long non-coding RNA. RefSeq lists it as uncharacterized. NCBI's taxonomy places the organism in Eukaryota, Metazoa, Arthropoda, Insecta, Hymenoptera, Braconidae. The record is from RefSeq and is a predicted model, not a curated record. The transcript is spliced from 4 exons.
AAUUCCCACGGUGCGUACUGAACUAUGUACCGUAGCGCAUAAGUUAUGACCUGCAGACGAUUGGGAACAUGAACUAUGCAGUAGCAAAAAUACCAUUGAAAUUCAAGCAGUCGUUUGUGCACUAAUCGGAAUCGAGGAAUGAGCAGGGAAUUUAUGAUACUGUGAGGAUCCUACAAAAAAAUCCUACGCCUGGAUUGUGAUUUUCAUACGCCAACUGAAAGUCCUUGUGACCUUGCAAAACAGUGUGUAUUCUUCUCUUGUCGCCAUUUUCAACCUCGUUUAGAAUACCACGAUACUCCUUGACUUCUCCACUGAGAAUCUUCAACUCCCUUGAGGCGUGAAGUACAAAUGAUGUUCGGGGCAACGACCGAUUUCAUCCUCUUUUCGAUGGGUCUCCCCUGUCCUUACCAUGGAGACGUUUGGCUAGAGGUCCUCUUGCUUUAUCCAAGGGGGUAUCCCCAUCUUUAUUAGCAAUGGAAACAAGUGCCCCAGCUGCGACCAGGUCCUCAGCGACUGCUUGAUCCCCCCAGAAGCAGGCAUAGUGGAGAGCCGUGUUACCGUGCUCAUUAGUAACAUUGACGUCUGCUCUGUUGCGUAAAAGCUGCGCCAAAAAAGGUCAUUGGAUACUAAUAGAAAUAUGAACGACAGAAAUUGAGCCAUUAACUCACCAAUUGUACUAUUUCCCUGUUGCCGUGGGCAGAGGCUAGGUGAAGAGGAGUGUCAUCACCUCGAUUAGUGGCAUUUAUUCUCGCACCUCUGCUAACAAGAAGUUCUGCUAGUUUCGAGUGGCCCUCUUUCGCACACCAAUGGAGCGGACUGAAUCCAUGAUCAUCCCUGCAAAUAAAAAUUAAUUAAAAUUGAAUUAAUGUGUUAAUAAAGCUGCGAGCAGAAAUAACUUAAUUUCAGUUCAGAAUUAGCUGGUGGAAAAUAUGUCAAAGAAUUUAAAAAAAAUGAAUUUAUAAGAUAAAA